AGAGUUUGAUCCUGGCUCAGGACGAACGCUGGCGGCGUGCUUAACACAUGCAAGUCACGGGGGCCCGCAAGGGCAACCGGCGAACGGGUGCGUAACACGUGAGCAACCUACCUCGAUGUGGGGGAUAGCCGGCCCAACGGCCGGGUAAUACCGCAUACGAUUCUUUGGGGGAGUCCCCAGGGAAGGAAACCUCCGGGGCA
RNAcentral lists this ribosomal RNA (200 nucleotides) under uncultured bacterium. RNAcentral describes it as "partial 16S ribosomal RNA". It matches the Rfam family "Bacterial small subunit ribosomal RNA", at positions 8 to 219 of the family's 1533-position model. The record is from RNAcentral.